GACGAACCGUGCGAACGUUGUUCGGAAUCACUGGGCUUAAAGGGCGCGUAGGCGGGCGGUCCAGUCUGUGGUGAAAUCCUUCGGCUCAACCGGAGAAUAGCUGGAGAUACUGGCCGUCUCGAGGGGGGUAGGGGCAUGUGGAACCUCCGGUGGAGCGGUGAAAUGCGUAGAUAUCGGAAGGAACGCCGGUGGCGAAAGCGAUGUGCUGGACCCUUUCUGACGCUGAGGCGCGAAAGCCAGGGGAGCAAACGGG
Molecule: ribosomal RNA, 253 nt
Filed under: uncultured bacterium
Lineage: Bacteria
Description: partial 16S ribosomal RNA
Rfam family: Bacterial small subunit ribosomal RNA
Source: RNAcentral